AACGUAGGAGGCAAGCGUUAUCCGGAGUUACUGGGCGUAAAGCGCGUGUAGGUGGGUUGGUAAGUUACUUAUGAAAGCUCCUGGCUAAACUAGGAGAGGUUGAGUGAUACUGCCAGUCUUGAAUAGAGGAGAGGUUGACGGAAUUCCGCGUGUAGUGGUGAAAUUCGUAGAUAUUCGGAAGAACACCAGUGGCGAAGGCGGCAUCCUGGACCAAUAUUGACGCUGAGGAGCGAAAGCCAGGGGAGCAAACGGG
This 253-nucleotide ribosomal RNA is filed under the name uncultured bacterium. RNAcentral describes it as "partial 16S ribosomal RNA". It matches the Rfam family "Bacterial small subunit ribosomal RNA", at positions 524 to 776 of the family's 1533-position model. The record is from RNAcentral.